GCUUAAUUGUUUGGCAAGGCAAUAAACGGUGCCAAGUGUUAUACUAAACAAAGCCAAAAUGUGAUCGUUCUGCAAAAUUUGAGCAAAAACAUCGCAGCGAUGAAUGCAAAAUCUUUUUUCGAACACGCGCAGCUACAUAUUCGGGACCCUGUAUACAACAGCGCAACGAUGGUGACUGGAGCAGCGUGGCAGCUCCAGAUUUCCUUCUAGGGGCGUGCAGUAGCUGUUGGUCAGUGUUCCCAGCAAAGUUGUCGUUUCCAAGGGGCAGCGAGAAUUGACCCUUGUGUAGUACUCGAGAUGUGACAUUUAAAAGGAGACAAGCCAAGAACAUUGUUGCCUCUGAGUCAAGAUUGUGAGUCAAGUCCUGGAUUUGGAUGUGUAUGUGGAAGAAGAAAAACAAUCACAAGUGUCGCCUGUGCUUGGCCAGCAGCGGGUUCACAUCACAGAAUGAAAGCAGGAACUGACGUGACAGCAUAAAGUCUCUAGGUGUAUUGGAUGUUUUGAAAAUAAACUAGUUACAUGGUCAUGUUGCCA
Long non-coding RNA from Dermacentor albipictus, 534 nucleotides. RefSeq lists it as uncharacterized. The record is from RefSeq and is a predicted model, not a curated record. NCBI's taxonomy places the organism in Eukaryota, Metazoa, Arthropoda, Arachnida, Ixodida, Ixodidae.